UACGUAGGGUGCAAGCGUUGUUCGGAAUCAUUGGGCGUAAAGCGCGUGUAGGUGGUUUGUUAAGUCGGUUGUGAAAUCCCUGGGCUUAACCGAGGAAGUGCAUUCGAAACUAGCAGACUAGAGGACGGCAGAGGAAGGUGGAAUUCCCAGUGUAGAGGUGAAAUUCGUAGAUAUUGGGAGGAAUACCGGCGGCGAAGGCGGCCUUCUGGACCGUUCCUGACACUGAGACGCGAAAGCGUGGGUAGCAAACAGG
Molecule: ribosomal RNA, 253 nt
Filed under: uncultured bacterium
Lineage: Bacteria
Description: partial 16S ribosomal RNA
Rfam family: Bacterial small subunit ribosomal RNA
Source: RNAcentral